GUUUCUGUGACACCUCUGCUUCAUAGCAGGGCUCUCACACACCCCUUGCCAGCAGCAGGAGGAAGGACACCCGGCCGGCAUCCUCCGCUUCUCAGCCCAAAACUCGAGCAAACGUGCCACUUCUGGAAAAACAACCUUGCGUCCAACUUUUGUCAAAACAGCUUCUCCCUCCGCCCCCGGGCCCCCAGCUCACAAAACUACCCGUGCCCCGCUCCUCUCCUCGCACCCGGCGGUCCCAGAGCCCCUUCAGCAGGGCUCUUCCUCUACCUGGGAUGUCUCUCAGCAACACCAAAAGCCCAGAAAGCAGAGGCGUAUGGGUGCAGUCUCAUGCACGGGGGG
Long non-coding RNA from Oxyura jamaicensis (ruddy duck), 339 nucleotides. RefSeq lists it as uncharacterized. The transcript is spliced from 2 exons. The record is from RefSeq and is a predicted model, not a curated record. Lineage: Eukaryota; Metazoa; Chordata; Aves; Anseriformes; Anatidae.